RNAcentral lists this ribosomal RNA (946 nucleotides) under Phlebia tremellosa. RNAcentral's name for it is "LSU rRNA". It matches the Rfam family "Eukaryotic large subunit ribosomal RNA", at positions 38 to 965 of the family's 3401-position model. The record is from RNAcentral. Lineage: Eukaryota; Fungi; Basidiomycota; Agaricomycetes; Polyporales; Meruliaceae.
GCAUAUCCAUAGCGGAGGAAAAGGAAACUAACAAGGAUUUCCCCUAGUAACUGCGAGUGAAGCGGGAAAAGCUCAAAUUUAAAAUCUGGCGGUCUUCGGCCGUCCGAGUUGUAGUCUGGAGAAGCGUCUUCCGCGUCGGACCGUGUACAAGUCUCUUGGAACAGAGCGUCAUAGAGGGUGAGAAUCCCGUCUUUGACACGGACUACCAAUGCUUUGUGAUGCGCUCUCAAAGAGUCGAGUUGUUUGGGAAUGCAGCUCAAAAUGGGUGGUAAAUUCCAUCUAAAGCUAAAUAUUGGCGAGAGACCGAUAGCGAACAAGUACCGUGAGGGAAAGAUGAAAAGCACUUUGGAAAGAGAGUUAAACAGUACGUGAAAUUGCUGAAAGGGAAACGAUUGAAGUCAGUCGCGUCGUUCAGAACUCAACCUUGCCUUCGGGCUCGGUGCACUUUCUGUUUGACGGGCCAGCAUCAGUUUUGACUGUCGGAAAAAGGUCUUCGGAAUGUGGCACCUCCGGGUGUGUUAUAGCCGUUGGUCGUAUACGACGGUUGGGACUGAGGACCGCAGCACGCCUUUUGGCCGGGGUUCGCCCACGUACGUGCUUAGGAUGCUGGCGUAAUGGCUUUAAACGACCCGUCUUGAAACACGGACCAAGGAGUCUAACAUGCAUGCGAGUGUUUGGGUGGAAAACCCGAGCGCGUAAUGAAAGUGAAAGUUGGGAUCCCUGUCGUGGGGAGCACCGACGCCCAUACCAGACCUUCUGUGACGGAUAUGCGGUAGAGCAUGUAUGUUGGGACCCGAAAGAUGGUGAACUAUGCCUGAAUAGGGUGAAGCCAGAGGAAACUCUGGUGGGAGGCUCGUAGCGAUUCUGACGUGCAAAUCGAUCGUCAAAUUUGGGGUAUAGGGGGCGAAAGACUAAUCGAACCAUCUAGUAGCUGGUUCCUGCCGAG